GAUGAAGAACGUAGCGAAAUGCGAUACUUGGUGUGAAUUGCAGAAUCCCGUGAACCAUCGAGUCUUUGAACGCAAGUUGCGCCCGAAGCCAUUAGGCCGAGGGCACGCCUGCCUGGGCGUCACACGUCGUUGCCCCCCCAUCUACUCCUUCGGGAUUGCGGGGGGCGGAUGAUGGCCUCCCGUGCGCCUCGUCGCGCGGUUGGCAUAAAUGCCAAGUCCUCGGCGACGCACGCCACGACAAUCGGUGGUUGCGAAACCUCGGUUGCCCGUCGUGUGCGGUCGUCGCGCAUCGAGGGCUCGAAAAAAUUGCCGGGCUCCGACUCGGCUUUCAACGCGACCCCAGGUCAGGCGGGGUUACCCGCUGAAUUUAAGCAUAUCAAUAAGCGGAGGA
RNAcentral lists this unclassified non-coding RNA (391 nucleotides) under soil metagenome. RNAcentral's name for it is "partial contains 5.8S ribosomal RNA, internal transcribed spacer 2, and large subunit ribosomal RNA". The stretch from base 1 to 122 matches the Rfam family "5.8S ribosomal RNA", at positions 35 to 154 of the family's 154-position model. The record is from RNAcentral.